UAACGGCUGAACCAGCAACUUGGAGGAAUGUAUAGCGAAAGCUAAUUAUAUCAUAUUUAUAUGGUAAAAUAUUGAUUUAAUUGAAUAAAAUUCUGGCUAGAAUUUGAUAAUGACAUUUUCUAUCUAUAUUUCUUGACUAAACCACGUGCCAGCAGUCGCGGCAACACGUAGCAGAUAAGUGUUAUUCAUCUUUAUUAGGUUUAAAGGGUACCUAGACAGCAGAUCAAGCUUUUAUAAAUAUAAUUUAAUAGGACUAGUUUGCUAGAGUUACUUAUGAUGGGGCUCGGAAGUACUUUCGGUGUAGAGAUAAAAUUCUUUAAUACCCUAUCAAUGAUAUUAAUGGCACUGGUAAAGGCGAAAGCAUCCUCUUAUGUGAUAACUGACGUUGAAG
Molecule: ribosomal RNA, 391 nt
Filed under: Crustospathula cartilaginea
Lineage: Eukaryota; Fungi; Ascomycota; Lecanoromycetes; Lecanorales; Ramalinaceae
Description: SSU rRNA
Rfam family: Bacterial small subunit ribosomal RNA
Source: RNAcentral